This 845-nucleotide ribosomal RNA is filed under the name Codinaea dinghushanensis. RNAcentral's name for it is "partial large subunit ribosomal RNA". It matches the Rfam family "Eukaryotic large subunit ribosomal RNA", at positions 65 to 943 of the family's 3401-position model. Lineage: Eukaryota; Fungi; Ascomycota; Sordariomycetes; Chaetosphaeriales; Chaetosphaeriaceae. The record is from RNAcentral.
CCAACAGGGAUUGCCUCAGUAACGGCGAGUGAAGCGGCAACAGCUCAAAUUUGAAAUCUGGCCCCCCGGCCCGAGUUGUAAUUUGCAGAGGAUGCUUCUGGCGCGGUGCCUUCCAAGUCCCCUGGAACGGGGCGCCAUAGAGGGUGAGAGCCCCGUCGGGUCGGCCGCCAAGCCUGUGUGAAGCUCCUUCGACGAGUCGAGUAGUUUGGGAAUGCUGCUCUAAAUGGGAGGUAGACCCCUUCUAAAGCUAAAUACCGGCCAGAGACCGAUAGCGCACAAGUAGAGUGAUCGAAAGAUGAAAAGCACUUUGAAAAGAGGGUUAAACAGUACGUGAAAUUGUUGAAAGGGAAGCGCUUGUGACCAGACGUGCGCCGGGUGUUCAGCGGGCGUUUUCGCCCGUGCAUUCGCCCCGGCGCAGGCCAGCGUCGGUUUGGGCGGGGGGACAAAGGUGCCAGGAACGUAGCUCCCCCGGGAGUGUUAUAGCCUGGUGCGUCAUGCCCCCGCCUGGACCGAGGUUCGCGCUCCGCAAGGACGCUGGCGUAAUGGUCCCCAGCGGCCCGUCUUGAAACACGGACCAAGGAGUCGAGGUUUUACGCGAGUGUCUGGGUGUCAAACCCGCACGCGUAAUGAAAGUGAACGUAGGUGGGAGCUUCGGCGCACCACCGACCGAUCCUGAUGUUUUCGGAUGGAUUUGAGUAGGAGCGUAGGGCCUCGGACCCGAAAGAUGGUGAACUAUACUUGGAUAGGGUGAAGCCAGAGGAAACUCUGGUGGAGGCUCGCAGCGGUUCUGACGUGCAAAUCGAUCGUCAAAUCUGAGUAUGGGGGCGAAAGACUAAUCGAACCAU